GGAAGCCGGGUUACGGUGCCCAACUGCGCGCUAACCUAGAACCCACAAAGGGUGUUGGUCGAUUAAGACAGCAGGACGGUGGUCAUGGAAGUCGAAAUCCGCUAAGGAGUGUGUAACAACUCACCUGCCGAAUCAACUAGCCCCGAAAAUGGAUGGCGCUCACGCGCGCGACCCACACCCGGCCAUCUGGGCGAGCGCCAUGCCCCGAUGAGUAGGAGGGCGCGGC
Non-coding RNA from Hordeum vulgare subsp. vulgare (domesticated barley), 226 nucleotides. The record is from Rfam. Lineage: Eukaryota; Viridiplantae; Streptophyta; Magnoliopsida; Poales; Poaceae.